CCCUAUUAUUUUGGAUCGUAAAUAUUUGUGCCUGAGUAGUAUUAGUUAUGUUCUUGAAACUUAAAGAAUUUGGCGGUAUCUUAUUCCAUCCAGAGGAAUCUGUCUCGUUAUCGAUAGUCCACGUUGGACCUUACUUGGUUGCUUUGGUUUGUAUACCGCCGUUUAUUGAUUAUCUUUUUAGAGUUUAUUUAAUUUUCUAGUUUCUUUAUUUUGAUUUAUUUCAGGUCAAGGUGCAGCUUGUUUCUAAGUGGAAUGAUGGAUUACAUUGUUAUUUGUUUUAUUGGAUUGUUGAUUUUAAUGUUGGCAUGAAAUUGGAUUUGGUUGUAAUGUUUUGUAGAUUAUUUUCAUGAUAAUUGGUUCUGGGAUAUGUACACAUCGCCCGUCGCUCUCAUUUAUUUUCUGAUGAGAUAAGUC
This 414-nucleotide ribosomal RNA is filed under the name Apicotermitinae gen. Q sp. AN. RNAcentral describes it as "partial 12S ribosomal RNA". The record is from RNAcentral. Lineage: Eukaryota; Metazoa; Arthropoda; Insecta; Blattodea; Termitidae.